UGAGGAAUAUUGCGCAAUGGGGGAAACCCUGACGCAGCGACGCCGCGUGGGUGAAGAAGGCCUUCGGGUUGUAAAGCCCUGUCAGGUGGGAAGAAAUGCAUGUAAGUUAAUACCUUACAUGUUUGACGGUACCACCAGAGGAAGCACCGGCUAAAUCCGUGCCAGCAGCCGCGGUAAUACGGAUGGUGCGAGCGUUGUUCGGAAUUACUGGGCGUAAAGGGCGCGUAGGCGGCCCUGUAAGUCAGAUGUGAAAGCCCUCGGCUCAACCGAGGAAGUGCAUCUGAAACUGCAGAGCUUGAGUAUGGGAGAGGAAAGUGGAAUUCCCGGUGUAGAGGUGAAAUUCGUAGAGAUCGGGAGGAAUACCGGUGGCGAAGGCGACUUUCUGGACCAAUACUGACGCUGAGGCGCGAAAGCGUGGGGAGCAAACA
This 428-nucleotide ribosomal RNA is filed under the name uncultured bacterium. Its description in RNAcentral is "bacterial SSU rRNA". It matches the Rfam family "Bacterial small subunit ribosomal RNA", at positions 355 to 774 of the family's 1533-position model. The record is from RNAcentral.